CCUACGGGAGGCAGCAGUAGGGAAUCUUCCACAAUGGGCGAAAGCCUGAUGGAGCAACACCGCGUGGGUGAAGAAGGUCUUCGGCUCGUAAAACCCUGUUGUUGGAGAAGAACGUGCGUGAGAGUAACUGUUCACGUUUCGACGGUAUCUAACCAGAAAGCCACGGCUAACUACGUGCCAGCAGCCGCGGUAAUACGUAGGUGGCAAGCGUUAUCCGGAUUUAUUGGGCGUAAAGCGAACGCAGGCGGUCUUUUAGGUCUGAUGUGAAAGCCUUCGGCUUAACCGAAGUAGUGCAUGGGAAACUGGGAGACGUGAGUGCAGAAGAGGAGAGUGGAACUCCAGGUGUAGCGGUGGAAGGCGUAGAUAUAUGGAAGAACACCAGUGGCGAAGGCGGCUCUCUGGUCUGUAACUGACGCUGAGGUUCGAAAGCGUGGGUAGCAAACAGGAUUAGAUACCCCUGUAGUC
This 465-nucleotide ribosomal RNA is filed under the name uncultured bacterium. RNAcentral describes it as "partial 16S ribosomal RNA". It matches the Rfam family "Bacterial small subunit ribosomal RNA", at positions 338 to 795 of the family's 1533-position model. The record is from RNAcentral.